UGGGUAAGAAACGAGAGGGAGGAGGGUCCCGACGAAACCCGCCCCCGCCCUUGCCCGGGUUCAGCUCCCAUGGCGGCUCGGCCCCCACCGCCUACUCCGCCUCUCCCGUCGCCUCCACGCCUCCGCCGGCCCCGGCUCCGGCGCCGGCGAAGGCAAAUUGCUUCUACCCGGCGUCUCCAGAUCGAUACUAAGCAUGGACAAGUCUGCCUGAUCCCAAUCAAAAUAGUGUGUCUGUCACCAAGUGGACGAGAAGGAGAUGCAUAUGUGUUGUGCGGCCUUGAUGUGUAUUACUGUAUAUAUGCAGGUUAUUGUCUCAUUUUUCUAGCGAUUGGUAUAUGGCUCAGGGUCAUGUACAAAGUCUCAGAUGUAUGGAUGUGUUGUUGCUGGAUUUGUUUCGUGGUGAAUCUCAGGCAACCCUUCACAAAGCUUCUACAUUACUCGUCGCCUUCCAACAACUUUGGCUAAAUUUUGGGGUAUAAGUGGAGGCCAUUUUGCUUGGCUUUCAUUCCCAUCCAGUGUAGCACCCAAAUCGAUUUGUUAAUACUGAACAUGUUUUCCGGAUGUAUCUUCCAUAUGUAUUAUGUGCAUUUCAAUAUCUUCGAAAAUUAUAAUGUGGACAAUUAGUUAUUAUGGCUUGCAAGGUGAACUCCUCGAUCCAUGGAUACAGUCCCGCAUCUAUAAUGAAAUCAUAAGUAAGGUAUGCGUGACAACCAGGGAGACGACAAAGUGCUAUCGAACGACCAUACGAUGCUAACUCUCUCUGCUGCAUAUGCAAUUCUGCAUGGGCAUCUGGUUAGAAUGAGAACAUUACGUAGUGCAAAUACAGCCAAUUACCUCACCUUAUUUUUCUCACCAUGCUAUGGUCCCAUUCAGUGUAGUUAAUUUGAUGGGCUCCAAAGGUGAUAUGUGUGUUCAAAUGCUACCUCAUAAUUUUUCAUUUGUGGUGUCUCUCAUAGCCGUUUCUGUAAGGGAUCAAUGGAAAACGACCAUGUGUUUGGUUCUGAAGUUAUUUAAGUUUAGAGUUAUCUCUUAUGCUCUCUUAGGUACUCUUUCUUAAUUUAUCAGAAACUAAUUCUAUCCCAUUACAUUCUUGACAUUCCACAAGAUCACAUUGCUUGCCCCACUAAAUUAGCAUUUAGGCUGGGCGAAAACCUUAGAUCAUACGUUCAGAGUUUAGUUCUUUUCUUAUCUGAAACUAACAUAUUUUACAACGAGCAUGAUGGAUGUUGCAGGUUCAUUGAUGACAACCAAGGGUUCAUGCUCGGAAAUGACUACAUCUUGCUCCAUGUCGUCGGCUCAGCUAGAGUCCUUAAUCAUGAGGAGAUGGGACACAUCAAUUGUUAGAGUACACUUGACAGGGGUUAUCGACGCUUACUAGCGCGGCCGGUGGGCGCUGUGCUCUUCAACCACUCAGAGGCGGACUUCUCCGUGAAGCCGGUGGCCACGUCGCGUAGAUGAUUGUCCAGGUGAUUUCGACGCCGGUGGUCGCCGAGGUGGAGGACCUAGACACCACCGUCUGGGGGAAAGGAGGAUUCGGGUCCACCGGCGUUUAAGCUCCGAGCCUUGGUAGAUACAUCUAGGGAAGGGGUCUGUUUAGGUUGGUGAUGGAACACCAGGGAGGGCACCCACCUUUGGAUGAUGGUUGUGUGUGUCUGAUGUUAAAUGGAAUCUUGAGAAUGUUAUGUGAUGUUGGUUUGGUUUGCACUGGACGUAUUGCCAUCCAUGAA
RNA transcript from Triticum dicoccoides, 1727 nucleotides. RefSeq lists it as uncharacterized. The record is from RefSeq and is a predicted model, not a curated record. Lineage: Eukaryota; Viridiplantae; Streptophyta; Magnoliopsida; Poales; Poaceae. The transcript has 5 exons.